GCUGCCGUGACUCGGCUCGUCUCGAACGUCUCAGUGUGCCCCGCUCGUCGGCGUCAACAGUGUGAUAGGUAUCUUCACUGUGUGGCCUCUCCGGAGGCGCGCCUUCGGAUCGCGGAUCGGUCACGCUUCCAACCGUCUUUGGACRAUUCUGACAAUUUGACCUCAAAUCGGGUGGGACUACCCGCUGAACUUAAGCAUAUCAAUAAGCGGAGGAAAAGAAACUAACAAGGAUUCCCCUAGUAACGGCGAGUGAAGAGGGAAAAGCUCAAAUUUUGAAUCUGGUGUCUUUGGCGCCCGAGUUGUAAUCUAGAGAAGUGUUUUCCGCACCGGACCGUGCAAAAGUUCCCUGGAACGGGGCGUCAUAGAGGGUGAGAAUCCCGUACAUGGCACGGACUACCGGCGCUCUGCGAUACACUCUCAACGAGUCGAGUUGUUUGGGAAUGCAGCUCAAAAUGGGUGGUAAAUUCCAUCUAAAGCUAAAUACAGGCGAGAGACCGAUAGCGAACAAGUACCGUGAGGGAAAGAUGAAAAGCACUUUGGAAAGAGAGUGAAACAGUACGUGAAAUUGUUGAAAGGGAAGCGUUUGAAGUCAGUCGCGUCUGUCGGGAUUCAGCCUGGCUUCUGCCCGGUGUACUUCCCGGCGGACGGGUCAGCAUCGGUUUCGACCGAGAGAAAAGGGCUUGGGGAAUGUGGCUGCCUUCGGGCAGUGUUAUAGCCUCUUGUCGUAUGUCUCGGUCGGGACCGAGGACUGCAGCGUGCCUUA
Molecule: ribosomal RNA, 763 nt
Filed under: uncultured Sebacinales
Lineage: Eukaryota; Fungi; Basidiomycota; Agaricomycetes; Sebacinales
Description: eukaryotic LSU rRNA
Rfam family: Eukaryotic large subunit ribosomal RNA (bases 158-763)
Source: RNAcentral